Molecule: long non-coding RNA, 541 nt
Organism: Mangifera indica (mango)
Lineage: Eukaryota; Viridiplantae; Streptophyta; Magnoliopsida; Sapindales; Anacardiaceae
Exons: 2
Source: RefSeq, a predicted model, not a curated record
CACAAAACUUGCCAAUUGGUUGGUUAUUUCUCUCGUUCCUCGAUCAAAUUUAGAUAAAAAUCGAAACUCGGAAGCUUUUGCUACAGUAUCUACAGGAGCUCUAUAAUCUGCAAGACUUCUCCCCUUCGCAUCACUUCAAUCUCCCAAAUUCGUUUCCCAUUCUCUUUCAAAUCGGUGCCUCAAGUCUCGUGCUAGUACUAUCGCCACAAAUUUCGCCUUCAAGUCAUGAAACAGUGUCCUCCGUGAAUCGCGUUUUCUUGUAAGAGCCAUUGCAGAACAGUUUUCACUGCUACCGGUGAGCCGGUCUUGUUCAAGGAUCUCUGAGACCUGAUACAGAUACAAACGCUUCGACAAUCAGUUCAAUUUCUCUAACAGACACAACCUAACAAUCAACACAGUCAGAUGGAAUAGGCUCAAGUAACACAUGUAGAGCCAUAUACAGAGAAAAUAAUGAAAUUAUGUAAUAUAUAAUUAUAAACUUGUAUUGAUAUUAAUGUAACAAAAUACUAUUUGAUUCAAAAUAAAAAUAGUUUUCUGAUAA